This 253-nucleotide ribosomal RNA is filed under the name uncultured bacterium. RNAcentral's name for it is "partial 16S ribosomal RNA". It matches the Rfam family "Bacterial small subunit ribosomal RNA", at positions 524 to 776 of the family's 1533-position model. The record is from RNAcentral.
UACGUAGGGUGCGAGCGUUGUCCGGAUUGACUGGGCGUAAAGCGCACGCAGGCGGAUGCGCGCGUGGGGUGUGAAAUCUGGCCGCUUAACGGCCAGGCGCCAUCCCAUACGGCGCGUCUGGAGCUUUGCAGAGGUCGGUGGAAUUGCCGGUGUAGUGGUGAAAUGCGUAGAUAUCGGGAGGAACACCUGUGGCGAAAGCGGCUCACUGGACCAUAACUGACGCUGAUGCACGAAAGCUGGGGGAGCAAACAGG